CGGUUUCUAUCUUCUAGGUAUGAAAUAGGUUAUUUUAGUACGAAAGGAUUAAAUAAUCAAAAAAUUUUUAAUAC
Molecule: ribosomal RNA, 74 nt
Filed under: Potamon gedrosianum
Lineage: Eukaryota; Metazoa; Arthropoda; Malacostraca; Decapoda; Potamidae
Description: partial large subunit ribosomal RNA
Source: RNAcentral